RNAcentral lists this ribosomal RNA (253 nucleotides) under uncultured bacterium. RNAcentral describes it as "partial 16S ribosomal RNA". It matches the Rfam family "Bacterial small subunit ribosomal RNA", at positions 524 to 776 of the family's 1533-position model. The record is from RNAcentral.
UACGGGGGGGGCAAGCGUUGUUCGGAAUUACUGGGCGUAAAGGGCGUGUAGGCGGUCAGAUAAGUCAGCUGUGAAAACCUCGGGCUUAACCCGAGGCCUGCAGUUGAAACUGUUUGGCUGGAGUGUGGGAGAGGAGAGUGGAAUUCCCGGUGUAGCGGUGAAAUGCGCAGAUAUCAGGAGGAACACCGGUGGCGAAGGCGGGUCUCUGGGCCGAUACUGACGCUGAGGAGCGAAAGCGUGGGGAGCGAACAGG